AUUGAACGCUGGCGGCAUGCCUUACACAUGCAAGUCGAACGGCAGCGCGGGAGCAAUCCUGGCGGCGAGUGGCGAACGGGUGAGUAAUAUAUCGGAACGUGCCCAGUAGUGGGGGAUAGCCCGGCGAAAGCCGGAUUAAUACCGCAUGAGACCUGAGGGUGAAAGCGGGGGAUCGCAAGACCUCGCGCUACUGGAGCGGCCGAUAUCAGAUUAGCUAGUUGGUGGGGUAAAGGCCUACCAAGGCAACGAUCUGUAGUUGGUCUGAGAGGACGACCAGCCACACUGGGACUGAGACACGGCCCAGACUCCUACGGGAGGCAGCAGUGGGGAAUUUUGGACAAUGGGCGCAAGCCUGAUCCAGCAAUGCCGCGUGCAGGAAGAAGGCCUUCGGGUCGUAAAGUU
RNAcentral lists this ribosomal RNA (402 nucleotides) under uncultured bacterium. Its description in RNAcentral is "bacterial SSU rRNA". It matches the Rfam family "Bacterial small subunit ribosomal RNA", at positions 29 to 432 of the family's 1533-position model. The record is from RNAcentral.